This 292-nucleotide long non-coding RNA is filed under the name Elaeis guineensis (African oil palm). RNAcentral's name for it is "long non-coding RNA (EGUI_LNC077009)". Lineage: Eukaryota; Viridiplantae; Streptophyta; Magnoliopsida; Arecales; Arecaceae. The record is from RNAcentral.
GGCUCUUUUCUUGGUACAAAGGUCUUUUAGAAAUUUAGCAUAGGUUGAAACUUGUUUAAUCAUAUCUAAAAGAGAGAUAUUUACUUGGACUUGCUUAAACACUUCUAAAAUUUUAUCCAAAUAUUCUGAUUUUUUAUUGGGUCUUAGUCGAUUUGGAAAAGGAGCUUUAGGAAUUUUGGAUUUUGGGCUUGGUGUACUAUCAAUUUUAGGAGCUUGAGUUUGUAAGGUAGAUUUUUCAUAAGGUGACUCAAUUAAAUUUUCUCUAUCAUCAGAUGUACCUACCUUAUUGUCC